GGGGAUGUAGUAUAACCUGGCUAGAAAUGAUUUAAUUCACUACAGUGGGUGGCUCCAGACCACCAGAUCUGGGUUCGAAUCCCAGCAUCCCCA
Molecule: transfer RNA, 93 nt
Filed under: Candidatus Woesearchaeota archaeon
Lineage: Archaea; Nanobdellati; Candidatus Woesearchaeota
Description: tRNA-Trp
Rfam family: tRNA
About the family: Transfer RNA (tRNA) molecules are approximately 80 nucleotides in length. Their secondary structure includes four short double-helical elements and three loops (D, anti-codon, and T loops). Further hydrogen bonds mediate the characteristic L-shaped molecular structure. tRNAs have two regions of fundamental functional importance: the anti-codon, which is responsible for specific mRNA codon recognition, and the 3' end, to which the tRNAs corresponding amino acid is attached (by aminoacyl-tRNA synthetases). tRNAs cope with the degeneracy of the genetic code in two manners: having more than one tRNA (with a specific anti-codon) for a particular amino acid; and 'wobble' base-pairing, i.e. permitting non-standard base-pairing at the 3rd anti-codon position.
Source: RNAcentral